This 465-nucleotide ribosomal RNA is filed under the name Vreelandella stevensii. RNAcentral's name for it is "partial 16S ribosomal RNA". It matches the Rfam family "Bacterial small subunit ribosomal RNA", at positions 338 to 795 of the family's 1533-position model. Lineage: Bacteria; Pseudomonadati; Pseudomonadota; Gammaproteobacteria; Oceanospirillales; Halomonadaceae. The record is from RNAcentral.
CCUACGGGUGGCAGCAGUGGGGAAUAUUGGACAACGGGCGAAAGCCUGAUCCAGCCAUGCCGCGUGUGUGAAGAAGGCCUUCGGGUUGUAAAGCACUUUCAGUGGGGAAGAAAGCCUUGGGGCUAAUACCCUCGAGGAAGGACAUCACCCACAGAAGAAGCACCGGCUAACUCCGUGCCAGCAGCCGCGGUAAUACGGAGGGUGCGAGCGUUAAUCGGAAUUACUGGGCGUAAAGCGCGCGUAGGCGGUCUGAUAAGCCGGUUGUGAAAGCCCCGGGCUCAACCUGGGAACGGCAUCCGGAACUGUCAAGCUAGAGUGCAGGAGAGGAAGGUAGAAUUCCCGGUGUAGCGGUGAAAUGCGUAGAGAUCGGGAGGAAUACCAGUGGCGAAGGCGGCCUUCUGGACUGACACUGACGCUGAGGUGCGAAAGCGUGGGUAGCAAACAGGAUUAGAUACCCCAGUAGUC